Long non-coding RNA from Nematostella vectensis (starlet sea anemone), 2509 nucleotides. RefSeq lists it as uncharacterized. The transcript is spliced from 2 exons. Lineage: Eukaryota; Metazoa; Cnidaria; Anthozoa; Actiniaria; Edwardsiidae. The record is from RefSeq and is a predicted model, not a curated record.
AGCGCACACAUUUCGCAACAGCAACCAAUUUCUUGCACUCGCAUUUUCUACCGUUACUGCAUUGCGUCUUGUAUACAACGUCGUAAUUACCUAAUCGUCGGAUAAUAUACAGAGGGUCUCUCAUCUUUAUUGGACGGGUCCACACAAAAGAGCAGUUCAUUUACUGGCUUCAAAUUGCUGUCGGCAUUCUCUUUCGGCGGAGUUCGAAGCGUACAGGAUACUGUUCUUUAAUGUUUCGAGGCUCUCUUGUUGUAGAAUCAGCUUCGCGGUACAGCAAAAAGUGUCAAAUCGAAUUACAAGAAGAUUAGAGAGAAUAUAUCACUAACGCGUGCGCUGUUCGAUCAUUGAUUUUCCUAUUUGCGAUAAUCGCAACGUUGGUGCUACUUACAGUUUUUGGCCAGUGGAGGAGUUGAGAAUGACGAGCUAGGUAAUUAUCAAUUGCAAUUUCAUUUUUCUUGAAAGGUCUUUUCUCUUGGUGAAUAUAUCGUGUUGUUGCUUAAGUCAGCUUGUUUGUGUGAGCUACCAAAAUGUCCAGACAUUUAUAAAGACCGCCAAAACAAAUCUAUUCUAAUUUUGAACAAUGGUCCUGAGCCAGUGAACAAGGAAUCAAUUCAACAAGCAAACAAUAAGCGCAAAAACCGCGGUAUUUUCUUGCUUGAGACAAAAGGAACUGUUAAAAGUAAACCAGGAAUCAAUUUAACAAGCAAACAAUAAGCGCAAACACCGCGGUAUUUUCUUCCUUGAGACAAAAAAAGUGUGAAAAUUGAUAGUGUUCGGCGGGUGUUUAUUUUUUUAUGGUUCAGGACAGUUUGACAAAAUUUAUGAAUUUAGAAAAAAACAUGGAGCCUUUCGAUCUCCCUCAUAGUAUUCAGGGUGCCAGUACCACUAGACCAUAUGGGAACUUCAUGGAGUUGAACAUUAAUCUUGGCAAAAUUUAUCUCUGCGCUUUAGAGGAAUCAAUAAAAAUACAACUUUCCCACACCGGGAAUCGAACCCGGGCCACGGCGGUGAGAGCGCCGGAUCCUAACCACUAGACCAUAUGGGAAUUUCAUAUAGCUGAAAAUCUAUUUUGCCCAAAUUUAUCUCUGCACUGUUAGUUUCAGGGAGUUAUUUUUACUCCACUCAGAGAGUAAAAACUACUCUUUGCGGUGGAGUACUUUUAAAGGAGUAAUUUGAACUCCUUUAUUGGAGUAAAAACUACUCCACUGAGGAGUAAUUUUUUUGUUUACUCCCUUAACGGAGUAAGUUUUACUCUGCUGAGAAUUAGUACCGAAUGUUUAUUAAAAAAAGAGUAAUUUUCACUCUUGUUGGUCAAAUAAUGGAGUAAAAAGUACUCUUUUCUGGGAGUGAUUUUAGCAGAGUGAAAACUACCCCAACUAUCUGAAGUGAAAAGAGUUAUUUUUACUCCAGAUGGUCAAGAAAUGGAGUAAAAAAGUACUCCUUUUAGGGGGUAGGUUUUGAAGAGUAAAAACUACUCCAGCCAUCUCGUGUUGAAAGAGUAGUUUUUACUCCAGCUGUAUCUUUUUAGAGCAGUAACAAACCACUCCAAAUAUAUAAAAUAAAGGGAGUUGUUUUUUUACUCUGAAUUAGCUGAAUGUAAGAAGGAAAACGAUAGUCUUUAUUAUAUAAGACAAAAGAUAAAAAUAAUAAUUUUUCGUAUCUAUUGGUAUUGAGACAAAAAACUCUACCCUGUGCCUAGGAGUUUCCUAAGAUUUCCUAAGUUCGAUCAAAACAACAAAAUAUGAUUAAACUUCCUAAAAAUUCCUAGGAUUUCCUAGUAUAAGCAGUAGACCCGAAAAUGGAAAUAAUUUGGAUAAGAAAAUCUUAGGAAGAAGAUUUGAAGUUCUACAAUUUAGGAACUCUUAGGAAAUUCUUAGGAAAUCCUAAAAGAACAUUUUCAAUACAAGAACAGGCCUCACCAUACUUGCAUAUAUUGUCAGCUAUACUACAACAAUAAGAAAUGUAAUCAAAGACAGGCUUGGACUCGAACAUAAGUUUUAUGUGGUGUACUUUCAAAAUUCGCUCAGAAUAAUUAGUACUGCAUUUAAAAGAAAGAUAGGUAGGGUGAUAAUUGUAUAAAAUUCUUAGAUCCGAUUUGAACAUUAUAAAAUAAUAUAUAUUGUUUCUAAUAGAAAUGCUACUUGAGAUUAUAAAAAAAAGAAGUCCCGCUUUGCAGAUAGAAGACGGCUCACCAGGGCUCGUAAAACCAAAAUGUACCGGGCGUCCCUCGAUUUAGUGGCCGAGAGGGGCUUGGGCCCAAAAUCAUAACGGUCGAACGGAAGCCAUUAUCAUAACCUCCAAACUGAUAGCCGUUUAUUCCCGUCUUCUCUACGCGUAAUCCACCUUUUUUGAGGAUUUGAUGGCAGAACAUGGAUUGAAGUUAAAGGACAUUAUGAUAGAGAUAGUAAAAUGUGCUCGAGUUGAAAGCCAGAAAAGAAAGAAGUUUGAGGUAUAAGGAAUGUAUCAAUGCGUAAAUCGCAAGAAACGAAUAAAAACUUUGUAAACUUAA